AUGCUAUUAAAAAAUCGGUCGAAGAUCUUGAAAAAUUCAAGUGGCCUAUCGAGAACUUGGCUCUUCUUCAGGUACAAGAAAUUUGUAAUAGUUGUAUGUACAUAUUAUAUAUACUGGGAAAAAGUUGAGCCAAUUGGUGUGGAUACAUUUGAUCCUUUGUCUCGUGAAUACCCACUAAUGGUUAACUGGCCAGAAACGGAAGGGAAAAAGAGAGACGACUAUGACAACAUGCACGGGCGUGGCACCGGCAAUCUUGAAAAUUGCGUUAGCCAAGAGUACAGACGUGCUAAGGUAGCACGUGAAGGGACUGUCCCAGAUGAAGAAACGAAGAAAACUAAACGGAAAGGUGGUGGCAGGAGUAGAAAGCCAAGCACGUCAGGGGUUUCAUCGAACACGACUAACAGUAUGGACCGUGUGAUGACAUACAUAAAGCUGCUUCACAAGGAGGUUCUCAAUAUACCCGAAAGAUGUGCACUGAUGGUAAUGGAAAAGUUGAACACGGAAGGUGUGCUGUACAAACCCAAUAAGAGGUACAACAAUGAUGAAUUUGUUAAUGUACGUCAAGGAGUUGGGAUGGAGAAUGGCCAGUACAAGUCAUCAAAAUAUUGGCCAGAUAUUGAUUCACCUACCUACGUGGAGCUAGUAACAUCUUUCACGUGUUUCAAUGAUACGGACGUGCCCGUUGAUGACACGGGUGCUUCGACGACGACACCGGGUAAAGGUGACGCUACUGAUCCUUUCAUUAUACACGAUAAUGAAAAGUCCCCAUGUUCAUCAUCAACUGUACGUACAAAAGAGUUUCCGUCUAUGUCCCGAACCCCGUAG
Molecule: ribosomal RNA, 825 nt
Filed under: Triticum aestivum (bread wheat)
Lineage: Eukaryota; Viridiplantae; Streptophyta; Magnoliopsida; Poales; Poaceae
Description: partial small subunit ribosomal RNA
Source: RNAcentral